UUUCACAACACCUUGAAUACCAACAUCUAGCUGAGUAGAAAUAACAUGAAGAGAAGCUCUAAGACCAGAAAGUUCUAGAUGAAAGGUUUCAGGUUUUGACAAAUUGUUCCUCACAGACAAGGCAGGACUUGUUUGAAUGAUACAUUUUUCUUUUCUUUGACUUAAAGUCAUUUGACUGAGAUAGUGCUUCUCUCAUUGAACUCUGAAAACAAGAAACAGGCUGCCUUAGCAACAGUCUGCUGAAAUGGCUUUCUCUGAGUUAUAAGACAGAUCUCAUUGUGUGAACAGCAGGCCCAGCUGUCUUACUGUCAGGAAGAUUAUUCCACCACAGGAUUUGGAGACCGGGGGUGGUGAUGACCAGCCUGGUGCAAGGACAUUGGAGCCAAGCAGCCAGUCGUGACAGAAUGCGGGAGCAUGGACUUGUGUGUCUACCCAUGGCCUGGAGAUGCUGUGGGUCACCUGCCAUGGAGUUUCUUCUUUGGGGUUCAGCAAGGAAGCAAGGGAGUUGCAAUCCGCAACCACACCAAAAAACAAAUAUUAUCUGAAAGCAUACAAACCACAGCAAUUUACAGAUCAUUAAUUUGGUUUAGCUUUACAGUCAUAGGUUCACAGUUAAAUGUAAUCUGCUUCUCCAACUUUGUGUCUUUGGACUGAAGUUGCUGUUUUGAUUGUGCAGUCAUUGGUGGAUAAGCAUUGCACCAGGGUUUUUGGUCAAAAUACAGUAAUUAUUUGUUAAUUCAGUCUAUCCGGUGCUUCAUUUGCAAGUCUGCUGCCUCAGCUGUUAAACUGACCUCUUUCAUUAGCAUUUAAUAGGGUUGAACCACACAGUUGCUGCAUUGUACUGGAGGGAGAAGCACUGUUGGGUCUAAAAUUAUAAUUUUUGCAACAGUGAAUCAAGAUGGGGCGGGAUAAUUUUGGAGUAAGUGAUCUUUAACAGGUCACUUUUAUGCAUAAAAGUAAGUUAAUUGAAAGGAUUAAGAGCACAUGGUGCUGUCUCAAUCUCACCUCUGGAUGUCUGGUUUAAUGUUGGUGGGAUCAAGCCAUUUCAGAGAGUGAUGCCUUGUCAGUUUGUGUAGCUGAUUGUGCCCACUAGGGCUUGUGUACAAGCUUGGUGAGGUGUAUACUGCAUGUAUCUAUUCUACACAUUGCAUUAUCAAUUAUCUUAUCCAUUGUGUCACAAUAUCCAUUCUGAGUGCCAGUUAGCUGUUAAAAAAGGCUGGCAAUAUUUUGUAUUUUUGUUAUGCUUAACAAAUCCCAUGAAAAUGUACUAAUCCAUCUCUCAACACUGUCCCACUUUUCCCAGCCCAUUCAUUUCUACUGGAAACAAUGUAUGUCAUUAAGAUAUCUUUAGAAACAGUUCAUGCUACAUGCCUUCAUUUUAAAUCAAAAUAAUUCCUUAAAGAACUAGGAAGUGUAGUUGCUAGCAGCGUAACUAAAACACGAGUAAACAGUACCAGUGCCAGGGAUUAUUUUCAGCUGUGAAUUUGGUGCUCUAUUGUGUAUAUACAGCAGCAGGAUGGUGUAUAUGGGACUGGCACAAAAUAAUCUAUAAAGCCCAUGCAUAUUAUAAUAAAGGAGAAUGUCUCCCAGUGCAUCAGU
Dicentrarchus labrax (European seabass) is the source of this 1599-nucleotide long non-coding RNA. RefSeq lists it as uncharacterized. The transcript is spliced from 4 exons. NCBI's taxonomy places the organism in Eukaryota, Metazoa, Chordata, Actinopteri, Moronidae. The record is from RefSeq and is a predicted model, not a curated record.